This 253-nucleotide ribosomal RNA is filed under the name uncultured bacterium. RNAcentral describes it as "partial 16S ribosomal RNA". It matches the Rfam family "Bacterial small subunit ribosomal RNA", at positions 524 to 776 of the family's 1533-position model. The record is from RNAcentral.
UACAGAGGGGGCAAGCGUUGUUCGGAAUUACUGGGCGUAAAGGGCGCGUAGGCGGCCAUCUAAGUCAGACGUGAAAUCCCCCGGCUUAACCUGGGAACUGCGUCUGAUACUGGACGGCUGGAGUUUGGGAGAGGGAUGUAGAAUUCCAGGUGUAGCGGUGAAAUGCGUAGAUAUCUGGAGGAAUACCGGUGGCGAAGGCGGCAUCCUGGACCGACAUUGACGCUGAGGAGCGAAAGCUAGGGGAGCAAACGGG